AUAGCUUUAUUCAUAAUUACCAAAAAUCAGAAAAAAACAAGAUGUACUUCAAUAGGACCGCCGCGGCUAGGUCACCUCCUCCGGACGCCGGCACGCGCUGCCCUGGCAACCGUCACCAGGGAAACAAGCGACGUCACUUGCGCGUUUUCAACGCGACUCUACGGGGGCCGAGGGGGCGCCAAGAGUUCUGAAAGUGACAGAGGCGCUGAUGGUGCGCUGGGCUGGAUCCAAGCGGGCACGAUCUCGAGUGCGCUGGAGAUUUUAAAUCUUCUGUAGUAUAUUUUUUAAAAAGUUGUGUGGACCAAACGUUCUGCACAGAGAUGCCCAUUCCGCUCUCCUGCUGGGGAGUUAAAAAGCGAACGAUUCCACCAUGAAAUUUAAAGUAGCCAUUCAGAUAUAUUUGAAAAAUGUAAAACAGUGUGAGGAAAGGCCAUGUUAUGAUGGUGAGUGAAGAAAGCAGGACACAAUACAGCAAUGCUAAAUAAAUAA
Molecule: long non-coding RNA, 489 nt
Organism: Nomascus leucogenys (northern white-cheeked gibbon)
Lineage: Eukaryota; Metazoa; Chordata; Mammalia; Primates; Hylobatidae
Exons: 2
Source: RefSeq, a predicted model, not a curated record